AGUCGAGCGGUAGAGAGGUGCUUGCACCUCUUGAGAGCGGCGGACGGGUGAGUAAAGCCUAGGAAUCUGCCUGGUAGUGGGGGAUAACGCUCGGAAACGGACGCUAAUACCGCAUACGUCCUACGGGAGAAAGCAGGGGACCUUCGGGCCUUGCGCUAUCAGAUGAGCCUAGGUCGGAUUAGCUAGUUGGUGAGGUAAUGGCUCACCAAGGCGACGAUCCGUAACUGGUCUGAGAGGAUGAUCAGUCACACUGGAACUGAGACACGGUCCAGACUCCUACGGGAGGCAGCAGUGGGGAAUAUUGGACAAUGGGCGAAAGCCUGAUCCAGCCAUGCCGCGUGUGUGAAGAAGGUCUUCGGAUUGUAAAGCACUUUAAGUUGGGAGGAAGGGCAUUAACCUAAUACGUUAGUGUUUUGACGUUACCGACAGAAUAAGCACCGGCUAACUCUGUGCCAGCAGCCGCGGUAAUACAGAGGGUGCAAGCGUUAAUCGGAAUUACUGGGCGUAAAGCGCGCGUAGGUGGUUCGUUAAGUUGGAUGUGAAAUCCCCGGGCUCAACCUGGGAACUGCAUUCAAAACUGUCGAGCUAGAGUAUGGUAGAGGGUGGUGGAAUUUCCUGUGUAGCGGUGAAAUGCGUAGAUAUAGGAAGGAACACCAGUGGCGAAGGCGACCACCUGGACUGAUACUGACACUGAGGU
Molecule: ribosomal RNA, 697 nt
Filed under: uncultured bacterium
Lineage: Bacteria
Description: bacterial SSU rRNA
Rfam family: Bacterial small subunit ribosomal RNA
Source: RNAcentral